AUCCAGCUGAUGAGUCCCAUAUAGGACGGAACGCAUGUCCUGAAC
Non-coding RNA from Schistosoma mansoni, 45 nucleotides. The record is from Rfam. NCBI's taxonomy places the organism in Eukaryota, Metazoa, Platyhelminthes, Trematoda, Strigeidida, Schistosomatidae.